GAUGAACGCUGGCGGCGUGCCUAAGACAUGCAAGUCGAGUGUUCCGCAAGGGACACGGCGAACGGGUGAGUAAUACCUAGGAACUUUCUUAAGUUGAGCAUAACCCAUCGAAAGGUGGGAUAAUUCUCAAUGUGACCGCAAGGUUAAAGUCGCAAGACGCUUAAAAUGAGGCCUGGGCACCAUCAGCUAGUUGGUAAGGUAAUGGCUUACCAAGGCUAUGACGGUUAGGGGCCCCGAGAGGGGAAACCCCCACACUGGAACUGCGGCACGGUCCAGACUCCUACGGGAGGCAGCAGUUUGGAAUUUUGGACAAUGGGCGAAAGCCUGAUCCAGCGACGCCGCGUGGUGGAUGAAGGUCUUCGGAUCGUAAACACCUUUGUUUGGGAGCAAUAUUUGAGAGUACCAAGCGAAUAAGAGGUUGCUAACUCUGUG
Molecule: ribosomal RNA, 432 nt
Filed under: uncultured bacterium
Lineage: Bacteria
Description: bacterial SSU rRNA
Rfam family: Bacterial small subunit ribosomal RNA
Source: RNAcentral